Salmo salar (Atlantic salmon) is the source of this 1702-nucleotide non-coding RNA. NCBI's taxonomy places the organism in Eukaryota, Metazoa, Chordata, Actinopteri, Salmoniformes, Salmonidae. The record is from RefSeq and is a predicted model, not a curated record.
GUCUGACAUCACCACUACUCGCCAAAUCUUUCCCCCCUGGGCCCGCAUGUUCUAAACAUGGCGAACCAGUUACCCAAACUUUGGGCAACAGGUCCUUUCCAAAACCUCAUCUGGGGGCAGUCUUUCUCUGGGAAAAGAAGAUUAAACCCUUCUUCCAGGACACCAGGCAAGACUACAAAGGCCUGGAAACAUUUUAUUUCAGUGUAUACCUCUUAAAUAAAAACACAGACAGUACCCCUUCACCUGCAGAGGAACUUGAGCUUAUUCAAGCAGGACUUGGAUAAAGAACACUGACCAUGUUAGAGGACGUGAGUCAUUCCAAGUUCCCAAAAAUUACGGGGUUGACUGGAGGAUGGCUUCUUCAUAAGGCAUUGGGGGAAAUGGUAAAAGACGUCUCGCUGUGAUUUCCCCAGAUUCAGAAGGAUACACAGGAUCCCAGGUCAAGCCGGCCACAGGGGCUGGGAAAACAAUCCUCUAUAUUGGAGGAACUAGAUCUUAAUCCUCUUCCUGCAGAUGCCAGAGAAUUUGAAAAACAUGCCUAAGCAACAUGUCAUAUGUGCAACCAAAGCAUGCCAUUACAGGUGCUGGCUCUCCAUAUCCAGGUCUGCAAGAAUGGAUGUAUCUCUGGAUGAAAAGGAGCAGACCGAAGUUAUGUUAAUCUCUGAAAUGAAGCGAGAAGAGAUACAACAUGAAUCAUAUCCCACUGAGUGUGACUGGCUGUGCCCAAUUUGUCUGGUCAAGUUUCCUGUGGAAGAACUUUCACUGCAUGCAAGCCUUUGUGGAGAAAGCCCUGUGCAAUUCCCAGAGCACAGCUCUUCUGGGAACCCCGAGUACAGCUCUUUGCUCACCGAUGAUACAGCAGGCAAGAAGGGUUCUACAGUAAUGUUAUGUGAAGAUGAUGUGCUGAGGCUGCUUGCUGACCGAGUGGAUGAAGAAAAUCAGUUCCACAUUUUUCUUUCACGGGCCAAUCUCCUAGCAAGGGGGCUCAAACAGUGGCAAAGACAAAAGAAAGGUUCCCCGUCAACAAAUUUAGCCUUACUUUUAUUGGUGAGGCUGGAUUCGAGUGCUUUACGGAAGGAGUUUUUGACGGGACAGCUGGAGUCUAGCUCAAGGUGGCCCAGCCCCAUGUUCGCUAAGAGAGUGGUGCUACUCCUAUCUCGCCACUGGAUGUACUCAAAAUGUCCAAGGAUGAUGUGGAUGUCAUGGAAUUUGUCCUGUGAUUAUGCUGAGCCGCAGGGAAACGGUCUAUGGCCCAUGACGUGUACUCUGGUCAGAUGAGACAAAAAUGUUGCUUUUUGGCCAACAAGGAAAACGACAUGUCUAGCACAAACACAACACCUCUCAUCAUCCCGUGAAUAUCAUCCCCACAGUGAAGCAUGGUGGUGGGAGCAUCAUGUUGUGAGGAUGAUUUUCAUCAGCAAGGACUGGGAAACUGGUCAGAAUUGAAGGAAUGAUGGAUGGCGCUAAAUACAGGGAAAUUCUUGAGGGAAACCUGUUUCAAUCUUCCAGAGAUGAAAGACUGGGAAGGAGGUUCACCUUCCAGCAGGACAAUGACCCUAAGCAUACUGCUAAAGCAACACUCGAGUGGUUUAAGGGGAAACAUUUAAAUGUCUUGGAAUGGCCUAGUCAAAGCCCAGUACUCAAUCCAAUUGAGAAUCUGUGGUAUGACUUAAAGAUUACUGUACACCAGCAGAACCCAUCC